CAGUAGCCGCGGGAAUACGUAGGGUGCGAGCGUUAAUCGGAAUUACUGGGCGUAAAGCGUGCGCAGGCGGUUGUGUAAGACAGGUGUGAAAUCCCCGGGCUUAACCUGGGAACUGCGCUUGUGACUGCACAGCUAGAGUAUGGCAGAGGGGGGUGGAAUUCCACGUGUAGCAGUGAAAUGCGUAGAGAUGUGGAGGAACACCGAUGGCGAAGGCAGCCCCCUGGGCCAAUACCGACGCUCAUGCACGAAAGCGUGGGGAGCAAACAGGAUUAGAUACCCCCGUAGUCCCUGUCUCUUAUAC
This 301-nucleotide ribosomal RNA is filed under the name uncultured bacterium. RNAcentral describes it as "partial 16S ribosomal RNA". It matches the Rfam family "Bacterial small subunit ribosomal RNA", at positions 509 to 807 of the family's 1533-position model. The record is from RNAcentral.